Dipodomys ordii (Ord's kangaroo rat) is the source of this 65-nucleotide non-coding RNA. NCBI's taxonomy places the organism in Eukaryota, Metazoa, Chordata, Mammalia, Rodentia, Heteromyidae. The record is from Rfam.
GGUGAUUCAGUGGUAGAGUGCUUGCCUUGCAUGCAUGAGGCCCUGGGUUCAAUUCCUCAGCACCA